Long non-coding RNA from Arachis stenosperma, 638 nucleotides. RefSeq lists it as uncharacterized. NCBI's taxonomy places the organism in Eukaryota, Viridiplantae, Streptophyta, Magnoliopsida, Fabales, Fabaceae. The transcript has 3 exons. The record is from RefSeq and is a predicted model, not a curated record.
AAUUAAACGUCCUUUCUGGAGCUUUCUUUCUUAACUGCAUCCACCACCACUUAUAUUCUUAUAUUCUCUCUUACUUUUGCUUAAAGCAUGUAUGUGCUCUGCAUAUAUAUUUAUAUAUAUAGAGCUAGAUAUAUGUGUCCUACCAUUGCAUUCAAGAAACAUUUUGGGUUUUAUCUGGUUUUUCUUCAAAGCUUGUUCUUGUGAAGAUGAGUGAAAUCAAAUAUGGCUAUCCAUACCCUGCUCAAGGUUCUUAUCAGGGGCCGCCGCCGGUGGCUGCACCGCCGCAGUACUAUGCUGCUCCUCCACCACCCAGAAGACAACCAGGUUUCCUUGAGGGAUGCUUAGCAGCUUUGUGCUGCUGUUGUCUCUUGGAUGAGUGCUGCUGUGAUCCAACAAUUAUUUUUGCAAGUUAAUGCAUAUGAUAUGACUUUAGCAUAGAAGGGGAAGACACUAUCAUUAUUAAUUGUUAUGUUGUCAUAAUAUUUGAUUUAGAAGUAGUUAAUUAAUUCCUUAGUGGAUCCCAAUCAAUACAGAUAUGUAUCAGUUGUAAUUAAUACAUUAUUGCUUUUGUAAUCUAUUGAUAUAUAUGCUUGAAUUGAGAAUCACUUUUAGUUUUCUGAUUUGCUCAUAUGCUUGUC